UACAGAGACCUCAAGCGUUAUCCGGAUUUAUUGGGCGUAAAGAGCAUGUAGGCGGAUAUAUUAGUCGGAUGUCAAAUCUUCGAGCUCAACUUGAAAACUGCAUUCGAAACGGUAUAUCUAGAGACAGUCAGAGAUCAAUGGAACGUAUGGUGUAGCAGUGAAAUGCGUUGAUAUCAUACGGAACACCAAAGGCGAAGGCAUUUGGUUAGGGCUGUUCUGACGCUGAGAUGCGAAAGCGUGGGUAGCGAAUGGG
This 253-nucleotide ribosomal RNA is filed under the name uncultured bacterium. RNAcentral's name for it is "partial 16S ribosomal RNA". It matches the Rfam family "Bacterial small subunit ribosomal RNA", at positions 524 to 776 of the family's 1533-position model. The record is from RNAcentral.